Molecule: transfer RNA, 62 nt
Filed under: Tylodina perversa
Lineage: Eukaryota; Metazoa; Mollusca; Gastropoda; Umbraculida; Tylodinidae
Description: tRNA-Val
Source: RNAcentral
GGGGACAAAGUAUUUAGAAAGUACAAUUCAAUUACAAUGAGGAGGUCCGUAAGGUGUCCCUU